UUGGAGGGCAAGUCUGGUGCCAGCAGCCGCGGUAAUUCCAGCUCCAAUAGCGUAUAUUAAAGUUGUUGCAGUUAAAAAGCUCGUAGUUGAAUUUCGGGAUCAAUAUGCUGGUCGUGCCUUUGGUACGCACUGGUAUUAUUGGUUUCUCCUUUCUGAUGAAUCACGAUGUCAUUAAUUUGGUGUCAUGGGGAAUCAGGACUGUUACUUUGAAAAAAUUAGAGUGUUUAAAGCAGGCUUACGCUUGAAUACAUUAGCAUGGAAUAAUGAAAUAGGAUGUUUAAUUCUAUUUUGUUGGUUUCUAGGAUUGACGUAAUGAUUAAUAGGGAUAGUUGGGGGCAUUAGUAUUCAAUUGUCAGAGGUGAAAUUCUUGGAUUUAUUGAAGACUAACUUCUGCGAAAGCAUUUGCCAAGGAUGUUUUCAUUAAUCAAGAACGAAAGUUAGGGGAUCGAAGACGAUCAGAUACCGUCGUAGUCUUAACCAUAAACUAUGCCGACUAGGGAUCGGACGAUGUUAACCUUUAUUGACUCGUUCGGCGCCUUACGGGAAAC
Molecule: ribosomal RNA, 548 nt
Filed under: uncultured Glomeromycotina
Lineage: Eukaryota; Fungi; Glomeromycota
Description: SSU rRNA
Rfam family: Eukaryotic small subunit ribosomal RNA
Source: RNAcentral